This is a long non-coding RNA of Megalobrama amblycephala (Wuchang bream), 1117 nucleotides long. RefSeq lists it as uncharacterized. The record is from RefSeq and is a predicted model, not a curated record. Lineage: Eukaryota; Metazoa; Chordata; Actinopteri; Cypriniformes; Xenocyprididae. The transcript has 3 exons.
UGAAAUUGCAAAUCUGCCAUUUACAGAGCCAAAAAGUCAUUUCUUGAAUAAAAAGUAUGUAGCAAUGACAUCUGAUCACUUUUAAGUAUAUUCUGUGUGUGAUUGCUGUGCAAUUUUCCUCCUCAAAGCUGUGAAUGACUGUAUAUACUGUAACACAAGGACAGCACUCAACAAAGUGUCUGCAUUCACAAUUCGCAUUCGGCUAAUACAACAAGACAAAGUAGAGACUAAGAACAGACAAUAUGAGCCAUAAUAUGCAAAACUCCUUGGAAGUUCAGCAAGAUCUAAGAUCUGGAACUAAAAUCAGCUGAGUCUGCUGCUAAACUGUUAAACAUGAUGGCGAAUCUAUAAUAGUUCUAGAACUGGGUCCAGUGUUGGAUGUAAUGCAUAACACGUUACUGUAAUUAAAUUACUUAUCCACUGAAAAAGUAAAAUAAGGGAUUACUGUUCAUUUUUAGGUCAUUUAAUUACAGUUACUUAUAAUGUACUUGUGUUACAUAGGCUACUGUAAAUUAGUUCAACACUUCUGCUUAAAUCAAUAUUGAAUUUAAAAUCAAAAUUUGUCCUCUAAAGGUAAAAGUGAACGCUGCCUCUUUAAAAUCGUUAGCUGUAGUGCAGUUGCGCGUGAGUUCCCAACUUCGUUAGUUGGCUGUGUAGUCGCUGUCUGAAGAUGUCGGCAGAAGCGAGUGGCUGUUUUGCAGAAUGGAAAUAUUCCAAUUACUUCACUUUUUUGACACAGGGGCCCUUCAAUGGUUAUGCUGCUCAGAGAACUGCAUUCAUAGCUGGAUACGGACCCUGGGGUGCUGAUGAGGAAGUAAGAGGAUCAUAUUUAUCUCAUGUUACGGUAAAACAAAGAUCAACGGAUACCACAGCAGAACAACUGAAGUAUGUGAUGAGGAUAUGCAAAUCAAUUGGAAAACAAAGGAGAGUUACAGAUUGGGACUCGCCAGUUUGGACCAAGUGUUGCAUACAUACGGCCUCUGAAAGUGAUCAGCAGGAUUCAUUUAUAUGUAUAAAGAAAAUAGUCACAUAUAAAUAACAAACAUGUUGACAGCUGUGCACAUGUGGUGUUCUUUAAGAAAGAAAAAGGACAAAAUGCGCACACACACACACACAC